This 1126-nucleotide long non-coding RNA is filed under the name Homo sapiens (human). RNAcentral's name for it is "HSALNT0000844". Lineage: Eukaryota; Metazoa; Chordata; Mammalia; Primates; Hominidae. The record is from RNAcentral.
UUACAGCUUUGGAGACUGGGAAGUCCAAGAGCAUGGCACCAGCAUCUGCUCAGCAUCUGGCCAGGGCCUUCUUGCUGCAUCAUCCCAUGGUGGAAGGUGGAUGGUCAAGAAAGCACAGGGGAGAGUCAGAGGAGAAGAGGCCCAAACUCAUCAUUUUAUCGGGAGUCCACUCCCAUGAUAACUAAUCCAUUCUUUUGAUAACUAACCUAUUCCCAUAAUUAGGUGAGGAAACUGAAGUGUAAAGAGGUUACAUAAGUUAGCUGAAAUUCUUAAAGGUAGCCACUGUUGGGGUGAGAUUUUAAAUCCAGGCAGAGAACUCCUGAGAACUAUCCAAGGCUGAACUGAGGGCAGCUCCCAGCCUCCAGCCAGGAAAAAUCCAGGCCCUCAGUUCUACAGCAGCAAGAAAAUAAAUUCUGCCAACAACCUGAGGGUGUGCAGAAGCAGAUCCUUCCCCAGUCGAACCUCCAGAUGGAAACACAGCCCAGUCCAGCCAGCAAGUUGAUUGUUAUCUUGUGUGAGACCCUCUCCCUGUCACAACUUGCAUAAAAUAUUUUUCUUUGCUUCUUUUAUUCUUUCAAGCAGCACUUGAUAUUCAUUUUAAACUGGCUUUGCUGCUCAACAAUGUUUUGUUUGGGAGUGGUGUGUGCAUGCAUAUAUGUUUUCUAGAGAUAUGUCAGAUUGUGGAAAGUACAGGGAGCAUGGCGUUAGGCUCUGUGCACAAGGUGAGAAGUUCAGCCACACCAUUGUGUUUCUCUACACAACAUCAAGGAACCAGAUACCAGGCCUGGAUGAAGCCCAGCCUUGGAAAUUGGAAGAUGCCAGCCCCCUUCAGUUCCUUAAACAAGGAUCCCUGGAUUGUAAUCUCCACAAGAGCAGGGCAUGUCUGCCUCAUCUAUCAUUGUAUCUCCAUUGCCAACCUCAGUGCUGAAUAUCUGUGGGGUAAAUGAAAGCAUGGGAAUUUGAAGAGCCACCCAUAGAAACUGUUUCCUCAAGCUAUCCCUCCUUUUCAGUGUUCACAGAACCCAUACUUUGCUCAGAAGAUUUUAAGUUUCCAUCACAGCUGAUGAUGGAAAGUUUGGGCACAGCAUGACUUUGUCUUUUGUUCAGAUCUCACACAAGGCUGCAG